This 96-nucleotide transfer RNA is filed under the name Rhizocola hellebori. RNAcentral describes it as "tRNA-Gly". The record is from RNAcentral. Lineage: Bacteria; Bacillati; Actinomycetota; Actinomycetes; Micromonosporales; Micromonosporaceae.
CGCCGGCGAUGGUGUAGGGACCGCCCGCUCCGCCGCCACCGAAGUAGGCCGGCGCGUGCAGGGUGCCGUAGGUGUUCUGGGGCUCCUUGCCGACGU